Molecule: ribosomal RNA, 406 nt
Filed under: uncultured bacterium
Lineage: Bacteria
Description: partial 16S ribosomal RNA
Rfam family: Bacterial small subunit ribosomal RNA
Source: RNAcentral
AUUGAACGCUGGCGGCAGGCCUAACACAUGCAAGUCGAACGAGUGGCGGACGGGUGAGUAAUGUCUGGGAAACUGGCUGAUGGAGGGGGAUAACUACUGGAAAAGGUAGCUAAUACCGCAUACCAUCGGAUGUGCCCAUAUGGGAGUAGCUAGUCGGUGGGGUAAAGGCUCACGUAGGCGACGAUCCCUAGCUGGUCUGAGAGGAUGACCAGCCACACUGGACCUGAGACACGGUCCAGACUCCUACGGGAGGCAGCAGUAGGGAAUAUUGCACAAUGGGCGCAAGCCUGAAACAGCCAGGCCGCGUGUAUGAAGAAGGCCUUCAGGUUGUAAAGUACUUUCAGCGGAGAGGCGUUACCCACAGAAGAAGCACCGGCUAACUCCGUGCUAGCAGCCGCGGUAAUUC